This 547-nucleotide ribosomal RNA is filed under the name uncultured bacterium. Its description in RNAcentral is "partial 16S ribosomal RNA". It matches the Rfam family "Bacterial small subunit ribosomal RNA", at positions 355 to 895 of the family's 1533-position model. The record is from RNAcentral.
UGGGGAAUUUUGGACAAUGGGCGAAAGCCUGAUCCAGCAAUGCCGCGUGUGUGAAGAAGGCCUUCGGGUUGUAAAGCACUUUUGUCCGGAAAGAAAUCCUUGGCUCUAAUACAGUCGGGGGAUGACGGUACCGGAAGAAUAAGCACCGGCUAACUACGUGCCAGCAGCCGCGGUAGUACGUAGGGUGCAAGCGUUAAUCGGAAUUACUGGGCGUAAAGCGUGCGCAGGCGGUUUGCUAAGACCGAUGUGAAAUCCCCGGGCUCAACCUGGGAACUGCAUUGGUGACUGGCAGGCUAGAGUAUGGCAGAGGGGGGUAGAAUUCCACGUGUAGCAGUGAAAUGCGUAGAGAUGUGGAGGAAUACCGAUGGCGAAGGCAGCCCCCUGGGCCAAUACUGACGCUCAUGCACGAAAGCGUGGGGAGCAAACAGGAUUAGAUACCCUGGUAGUCCACGCCCUAAACGAUGUCAACUAGUUGUUGGGGAUUCAUUUCCUUAGUAACGUAGCUAACGCGUGAAGUUGACCGCCUGGGGAGUACGGUCGCAAGAUU